RNAcentral lists this transfer RNA (363 nucleotides) under uncultured Microcystis sp. RNAcentral's name for it is "partial 16S-23S ribosomal RNA intergenic spacer". The stretch from base 134 to 207 matches the Rfam family "tRNA". The record is from RNAcentral. Lineage: Bacteria; Bacillati; Cyanobacteriota; Cyanophyceae; Chroococcales; Microcystaceae.
AAAGGGAGACCUAAUUCGGGUAUAAGACGAAAAAAUAGUAGUCGAAACCAAGAAUCAAUCCCAAAAGGUCGGAACGAGGUAUGUGGCUUUCAAACUAGGUUCUGGGUUCAUAAAAGACCUGAAUCAGGAACAAGGGCUAUUAGCUCAGGUGGUUAGAGCGCACCCCUGAUAAGGGUGAGGUCCCUGGUUCGAGUCCAGGAUGGCCCACCUGCACAGGUGGCAAAAACAAAGAAAAGAAGCGAGGAAUCAGCACCUUAUCUUACUUAUAUAGUAAGAGAGAAUGCUGGCUCUGGGUAAAGAGUCCAGAGGAACCUUGAAAACUGCAUAGAGCUAGGUGAAAAAGCCAAAAAAGAAGACCGCAAG